AGUGAACGCUGGCGGCGUGCUUAACACAUGCAAGUCGAACGAGAACGGAUUAUAGCUUGCUAUAAUUGUCAGCUAAGUGGCGCACGGGUGAGUAAUGUAUAGGUAGUAUGCCUCUUACUAAGGGAUAACAAAUGGAAACGUUUGCUAAUACCUUAUACUCCUUAUUAACAGAAGUUAAUAAGGGAAAGAUUUAUUGGUAAGAGAUUAGCCUGUAUUGUAUCAGUUAGUUGGUGGGGUAAUGGCUUACCAAGACUAUGACACAUAACUGGUUUGAGAGGGUGAUCAGUCACACUGGAACUGAGACACGGUCCAGACUCCUACGGGAGGCAGCAGUGGGGAAUAUUGCACAAUGGACGAAAGUCUGAUGCAGCAACGCCGCGUGGAGGAUGACACAUUUCGGUGCGUAAACUCCUUUUAUAUGAGAAGAUAAUGACGGUAUUAUAUGAAUAAGCACCGGCUAACUCCGUGCCAGCCGCCGCAGUAA
This 484-nucleotide ribosomal RNA is filed under the name uncultured bacterium. RNAcentral describes it as "partial 16S ribosomal RNA". It matches the Rfam family "Bacterial small subunit ribosomal RNA", at positions 29 to 523 of the family's 1533-position model. The record is from RNAcentral.